AUUGAACGCUGGCGGCAUGCCUUACACAUGCAAGUCGAACGGUAACAGGUCUUCGGACGCUGACGAGUGGCGAACGGGGUAGUACUACAUCGGAACGUGCCUAGUAGUGGGUGAUAACUACUCGAAAGAGUGGCUAAUACCCCAUGAGAUCCACGAAUGAAAUCAGGUGAUCGCAAGACCUCGUGCUACUAGAGCGGACGAUGGCAGAUUAGGUAGUUGGUGGGAUAAAAGAUUACCAAGCCGACGAUCUGUAGCUGGUCUGAGAGGACGAUCAGCCACACUGGGACUGAGACACGGCCCAGACUCCUACGGGAGGCAGCAGUGGGGAAUUUUGGACAAUGGGCGCAAGCCUGAUCCAGCAAUGCCGCGUGCAGGAUGAAGGCCUUCGGGUUGUAAACUGCUUGUGUACGGAACGAAAAGCCCUGGGUUAAUACCCUGGGGUCAUGACGGUACCGUAAGAAUAAGCACCGGCUAACUACGUGCCAGCCGCCGCGGUAA
RNAcentral lists this ribosomal RNA (498 nucleotides) under uncultured bacterium. Its description in RNAcentral is "partial 16S ribosomal RNA". It matches the Rfam family "Bacterial small subunit ribosomal RNA", at positions 30 to 523 of the family's 1533-position model. The record is from RNAcentral.